Molecule: long non-coding RNA, 738 nt
Organism: Exaiptasia diaphana
Lineage: Eukaryota; Metazoa; Cnidaria; Anthozoa; Actiniaria; Aiptasiidae
Exons: 2
Source: RefSeq, a predicted model, not a curated record
CUCGCUUUCGGUGACUUUGCCCAUUCCAUUAGUGUGAAUAAUAGCGUGCUUUUUCUGCAAACUUUGGGUAACUUUGGCGCCGGGUAAAAUUGUUUAUGUUACUUUUAUMUAAGUUUCUGCGUUAAAGUGUACACUGCAUCCAUACGGCGAACUCAUUUUACUUAUCUCUGAUAGGUCACCGAGAAAGAACACAGACCCUAUGAGCCCUGCUAAAGUUGAAGGUGCUGGUGCAAGUCAGUUUGGAUUUGACCAUUCCUGGAAACCAAACCGCGACAGUCCAACUCCAACUAGUAAUGCAGACAAAGCGAAGAAGUCKUUGAAUUUUGCUGGUGAUGAUUUAAAUGACGUGAUAAUGAUAACUGAAUCUAAUAGACCUUUUAAUGCUGAUACACAACUGCAAUACUCUUCGCCGUCUUCACAAAGUUUAGCACAGUCACGAAAUGCCGAUGUACCGGUAUCAAUGUCAUAACACUGGUGUUAUUAUAUGCAAAAUUAUUUAUACAAAUUGAAAUGAUAUACAAUGGACUGCUGCUCACAUCAACUGUUUUGUGCAAGACUUCUCUUGUGAAUGACAGAAGAGAAUUUUUUUACAAUCAUGAUAUUCUUUCAUAUGUGUCCCAACCUAUCAAAAGUCAGUGCCCAGUGGUUUGGGCACCCUUUCAAGCAGCAAGGAGUUUAUUCAUUGUAUUGCCAGAAUUUUAGAAUGUUACACAUCCUCACAGUACAGUACACUUGAAG